UGGGGAAUUUUGGACAAUGGGGGCAACCCUGAUCCAGCCAUGCCGCGUGAGUGAAGAAGGCCUUAGGGUUGUAAAGCUCUUUCAGUCGUGACGAUGAUGACGGUAGCGACAGAAGAAGCCCCGGCUAACUCCGUGCCAGCAGCCGCGGUAAUACGGAGGGGGCAAGCGUUGUUCGGAAUGACUGGGCGUAAAGCGCGCGCAGGUGGCCCGUUAAGUCGGCUGUGAAAUCCCCUGGCUCAACCAGGGAAGUGCAGUCGAUACUGGCCGGCUCGAGUCCCGGAGAGGGUGGUAGAAUUCCCAGUGUAGAGGUGAAAUUCGUAGAUAUUGGGAGGAAUACCGGUGGCGAAGGCGACCGCCUGGACGGGUACUGACACUGAGGCGCGAAAGCGUGGGGAGCAAACAGGAUUAGAUACCCCCGUAG
This 421-nucleotide ribosomal RNA is filed under the name uncultured prokaryote. RNAcentral's name for it is "bacterial SSU rRNA". It matches the Rfam family "Bacterial small subunit ribosomal RNA", at positions 355 to 793 of the family's 1533-position model. The record is from RNAcentral.